RNAcentral lists this ribosomal RNA (551 nucleotides) under uncultured bacterium. Its description in RNAcentral is "partial 16S ribosomal RNA". It matches the Rfam family "Bacterial small subunit ribosomal RNA", at positions 355 to 895 of the family's 1533-position model. The record is from RNAcentral.
UGGGGAAUAUUGCACAAUGGGCGCAAGCCUGAUGCAGCCAUGCCGCGUGUGUGAAGAAGGCCUUCGGGUUGUAAAGCACUUUCAGCGAGGAGGAAGGUGGUGAGCUUAAUACGCUCAUCAAUUGACGUUACUCGCAGAAGAAGCACCGGCUAACUCCGUGCCAGCAGCCGCGGUAAUACGGAGGGUGCAAGCGUUAAUCGGAAUUACUGGGCGUAAAGCGCACGCAGGCGGUUUGUUAAGUCAGAUGUGAAAUCCCCGGGCUCAACCUGGGAACUGCAUUUGAAACUGGCAAGCUAGAGUCUCGUAGAGGGGGGUAGAAUUCCAGGUGUAGCGGUGAAAUGCGUAGAGAUCUGGAGGAAUACCGGUGGCGAAGGCGGCCCCCUGGACGAAGACUGACGCUCAGGUGCGAAAGCGUGGGGCAGCAAACAGGAUUAGAUACCCUGGUAGUCCAGCGCUGUAAACGAUGUCGAUUUGGAGGUUGUCGCCCUUGAGGCGUGGCUUCCGGAGCUAACGCGUUAAAUCGACCGCCUGGGGAGUACGGCCGCAAGGUU